Molecule: ribosomal RNA, 440 nt
Filed under: uncultured bacterium
Lineage: Bacteria
Description: partial 16S ribosomal RNA
Rfam family: Bacterial small subunit ribosomal RNA
Source: RNAcentral
CCUACGGGAGGCAGCAGUGGGGAAUAUUGCACAAUGGGGGGAACCCUGAUGCAGCGACGCCGCGUGAGUGAAGAAGUAUUUCGGUAUGUAAAGCUCUAUCAGCAGGGAAGAAAAUGACGGUACCUGACUAAGAAGCCCCGGCUAACUACGUGCCAGCAGCCGCGGUAAUACGUAGGGGGCAAGCGUUAUCCGGAUUUGCUGGGUGUAAAGGGAGCGUAGACGGCAGCACAAGUCUGGAGUGAAAUGCCGGGGCUUAACCCCGGAACUGCUUUGGAAACUGUGCAGCUAGAGUGCAGGAGAGGUAAGUGGAAUUCGUAGUGUAGCGGUGAAAUGCGUAGAUAUUAGGAGGAACCCCAGUGGCGAAGGCGGCUUACUGGACUGUAACUGACGUUGAGGCUCGAAAGCGUGGGGAGCAAACAGGAUUAGAUACCCGAGUAGUC